Pelobates cultripes (western spadefoot toad) is the source of this 208-nucleotide non-coding RNA. The record is from the annotation of a GenBank genome assembly. Lineage: Eukaryota; Metazoa; Chordata; Amphibia; Anura; Pelobatidae.
GGAAGAUCGGAUGAAACUAUUGGAGGAAAAGACAGAGAAAUUAAAAUUGAAACUAACAGAGAAUGAAGAUAGUGUGAGGAGGAUAAACCUCAGAAUAGGAGGUGUGCCAGAGAAUGUAUCAAUACAUGAAUUGGGAAAAUAUCUUGAAGGGUUUUUUAUAUUUUUAUAGGCCUUAAUCCAGAUCAAAGUCAAAAUUUUAUUGAAAGAG